Long non-coding RNA from Spinacia oleracea (spinach), 927 nucleotides. RefSeq lists it as uncharacterized. Lineage: Eukaryota; Viridiplantae; Streptophyta; Magnoliopsida; Caryophyllales; Amaranthaceae. The transcript has 3 exons. The record is from RefSeq and is a predicted model, not a curated record.
UCUUCUUUUCCCUCAAUCUGGUCUACAUUCAAUUGGAAUGUUCAAAUUGAACUCUUCCUUUUCUUCCUUUAUAAACCCAACCACCAGAAUCCCAAAUUUCUCAAGCCAAAAAUCAGAAUUGAAAAUCAAACAAAUCUCACUUCCCCUUGUUUUUGUAACUUCGAACCACCACCGCAAACACCACCGCAACCACCGGCUACCACCACUGCCACCUUCGUCCAACACCACACAACCACCCCAACCAUCGUCGCCCCACAGUGCCACCGCACGCACCACCUCCUUCCCUCCCCCUCCUCUCGACACACUCCCCUGUCUCUCCCUUUUCCCCCGCCUCGCUGCACCACCCACACCACUCCCAACUGUCACCACCACCUUGCCAACCAAUCUCAGACUCCCUAUUUCCGGCGAGCCGCAGCCCAAAACCACCCAGAAACACCCCCAAACUUCCCCUGUUUCGCCUACUUUGUGCUUCAUUUCCUCGCUCCCUCGUCGUUCCGCCGCCACCAAACCACCGCCAUCAUCGCCGCCCUUCAUCGUCGAGCCACCCCAGCCAACCUCCUUUCCUCCCUCCUCUUCUCUCCUUCUCUUCGUGUUCUCCCCUCCCCUGUUCCGCGUCCUGCUCCCAGAAAACCAAAAUCAAAUUUUGGUUUUUGGUUAUUUUAUCCUUUAAAACCCACAAUUUAAUUGGGCCAUUCUAGUUUGGGCUUUUGGAAAUUGGAAUCGGAGCUCAGGACGAACGAACCAAGGAAAAUCCUUAGCAAAAUCGCGGAAGUGAGGUACUGCGGGGAACGAUGGAAACGAGUAGUGGCGAGGAAUUUCACUUUAGUAUUAAUCACCUAGUUUAUGCUUAACAUUUUAAUAGUUUAAUUAAGAACUUUUAGUAAGUUAUGUACUUUUAUUUUGGAAUAUAAAGGAUUGUUAUAUUAA